Molecule: transfer RNA, 74 nt
Filed under: Puniceicoccales bacterium
Lineage: Bacteria; Pseudomonadati; Verrucomicrobiota; Opitutia; Puniceicoccales
Description: tRNA-Gly
Rfam family: tRNA
About the family: Transfer RNA (tRNA) molecules are approximately 80 nucleotides in length. Their secondary structure includes four short double-helical elements and three loops (D, anti-codon, and T loops).
Source: RNAcentral
GCGAGCAUAGUUUAGUGGUAAAACUUCUGCCUUCCAAGCAGGUAUCGUCGGUUCGAUUCCGUCUGCUCGCACCA